AUUGAACGCUGGCGGCAUGCCUUACACAUGCAAGUCGAACGGUAACAGGUCUUCGGAUGCUGACGAGUGGCGAACGGGUGAGUAAUACAUCGGAACGUGCCCGAUCGUGGGGGAUAACGAAGCGAAAGCUUUGCUAAUACCGCAUAAGAUCUACGGAUGAAAGCAGGGGACCGCAAGGCCUUGCGCGAACGGAGCGGCCGAUGGCAGAUUAGGUAGUUGGUGGGAUAAAAGCUUACCAAGCCGACGAUCUGUAGCUGGUCUGAGAGGACGACCAGCCACCCUGGGACUGAGACACGGCCCAGACUCCUACGGGAGGCAGCAGUGGGGAAUUCUGGACAAUGGGCGAAAGCCUGAUCCAGCCAUGCCGCGUGCAGGAUGAAGGCCUUCGGGCUGUAAACUGCUUUUGUACGGAACGAAAAGACUCUUUCUAAUAAAGAGGGUCCAUGACGGUACCGUAAGAAUAAGCACCGGCUAACUACGUGCCAGCCGCCGCAGUAA
Molecule: ribosomal RNA, 498 nt
Filed under: uncultured bacterium
Lineage: Bacteria
Description: partial 16S ribosomal RNA
Rfam family: Bacterial small subunit ribosomal RNA
Source: RNAcentral